GAAGCUUCAUUAUAAACAUGAAAGCUGGCUCCUGCAUAGGACACUGAAAACCAACUUCGAUUAUCUUCAAGAGGUGCCUAUCUUAACACUGGAUGUUAAUGAAGACUUUAAAGACAAAUAUGAAAGUCUGGUUGAAAAGGUAGAUUUAGACAGACUACAAACAAAUAUUUGUUUUUUCUAAAA
RNAcentral lists this small RNA (183 nucleotides) under Pan troglodytes (chimpanzee). RNAcentral describes it as "retained intron". Lineage: Eukaryota; Metazoa; Chordata; Mammalia; Primates; Hominidae. The record is from RNAcentral. RNAcentral also lists the same sequence under 1 other name.